GACCACUCAAGUGGCCUAGUGGUUAGAGUGUUUGUCUCUGAUGUGGGAGGUCAUGGGUUCGAUCCCCAGCUAAGUCA
Potamilus streckersoni is the source of this 77-nucleotide non-coding RNA. Lineage: Eukaryota; Metazoa; Mollusca; Bivalvia; Unionida; Unionidae. The record is from the annotation of a GenBank genome assembly.